Molecule: ribosomal RNA, 468 nt
Filed under: uncultured organism
Description: partial 16S ribosomal RNA
Rfam family: Bacterial small subunit ribosomal RNA
Source: RNAcentral
UACACUCCUACGGGAGGCAGCAGUGAGGAAUAUUGGACAAUGGGUGGAAGCCUGAUCCAGCCAUCCCGCGUGCAGGAAGACGGCCCUAUGGGUUGUAAACUGCUUUUAUCUGGGGAUAAACCUACUUACGUGUAAGUAGCUGAAGGUACCAGAAGAAUAAGCACCGGCUAACUCCGUGCCAGCAGCCGCGGUAAUACGGAGGGUGCAAGCGUUAUCCGGAUUUAUUGGGUUUAAAGGGUCCGUAGGCGGACUGAUAAGUCAGUGGUGAAAUCCGACAGCUUAACUGUCGAACUGCCAUUGAUACUGUUAGUCUUGAGUAAGGUUGAAGUGGCUGGAAUAAGUAGUGUAGCGGUGAAAUGCAUAGAUAUUACUUAGAACACCAAUUGCGAAGGCAGGUCACUAAGUCUUAACUGACGCUGAUGGACGAAAGCGUGGGGAGCGAACAGGAUUAGAAACCCGGGUAGUCCC